UUAAUAUUUAUUAUUAACUGAAGUUACUGCUACUACAAAGGGUUUUGAUGUCCUCAUGGCGGGCAAGCCCACCGAGGAAACAAGGGUACUCAUAAACAAAGGGUGCUAUCUCAAUGGGGCCGAAGCCCCACGGUAAUGAUCCUUCCGCAGGUUCACCUACGGAAA
Molecule: unclassified non-coding RNA, 165 nt
Filed under: uncultured fungus
Lineage: Eukaryota; Fungi
Description: sequence contains ITS1
Source: RNAcentral